This 276-nucleotide long non-coding RNA is filed under the name Lathyrus oleraceus (garden pea). RNAcentral describes it as "Pisum sativum (pea) long non-coding RNA (PSAT_LNC021514)". Lineage: Eukaryota; Viridiplantae; Streptophyta; Magnoliopsida; Fabales; Fabaceae. The record is from RNAcentral.
AAACUUGGAAGUAAAAAAAAAACAUCAUACCCUUUAGCAAAAAUAAAAUAGAGAAUAGUUUUAUGAUAAAGUUGGUGAUUACAGUUCACAUAAAAGAAUAAUACUCAUUAAUUUUUGAAUCAUCGUAUCUUCCAUUUUAUAAAUCAAAUUUUUCACUCCUGUCUUCGUUACAACCACCAUAAUUUUCUUUAAAUAUUGAAUAUAUGUACUAAAUUUGUUGAAAAUGACAAUGGGGAUAAUUAGAAGAACAUACGGGAGGUUUGCAAUUGAAAUAUA